AUUGAACGCUGGCGGCAGGCCUAACACAUGCAAGUCGAGCGGAUGAAGGGAGCUUGCUCCUGGAUUCAGCGGCGGACGGGUGGGUAAUGCCUAGGAAUCUGCCUGGUAGUGGGGGAUAACGUCCGGAAACGGGCGCUAAUACCGCAUACGUCCUGAGGGAGAAAGUGGGGGAUCUUCGGACCUCACGCUAUCAGAUGAGCCUAGGUCGGAUUAGCUAGUUGGUGGGGUAAAGGCCUACCAAGGCGACGAUCCGUAACUGGUCUGAGAGGAUGAUCAGUCACACUGGAACUGAGACACGGUCCAGACUCCUACGGGAGGCAGCAGUGGGGAAUAUUGGACAAUGGGCGAAAGCCUGAUCCAGCCAUGCCGCGUGUGUGAAGAAGGUCUUCGGAUUGUAAAGCACUUUAAGUUGGGAGGAAGGGCAGUAAGUUAAUACCUUGCUGUUUUGACGGUACCAACAGAAUAAGCACCGGCUAACUUCGUG
This 484-nucleotide ribosomal RNA is filed under the name uncultured bacterium. RNAcentral's name for it is "partial 16S ribosomal RNA". It matches the Rfam family "Bacterial small subunit ribosomal RNA", at positions 30 to 507 of the family's 1533-position model. The record is from RNAcentral.